GUGCCGCGUCGCUUUCUUUUCUUCCUCUGGAGCAGUUAUGGCGGCGGCGAAGACCCUGAACCCCAAGGCCAAGGUGGCCGGAGCGCAGGCGGCGCUGGCGUUCAACAUUAGCGGGGCGCGGGGUCUGCAGGACGUGCUGAGGACCAACCUGGGGCCCAAAGGGACCAUAAAGAUCAAAUUCAACACCCAACAGCUUCCUUAAUAGCAAAGGUAGCAACAGCCCAGGAUGAUAUAACUGGUGAUGGUACGACUUCCAAUGUCCUAAUCAUUGGAGAGCUGCUGAAACAGGCAGAUCUCUACAUUUCUGAAGGCCUUCAUCCCAGAAUAAUCACUGAAGGAUUUGAAGCUGUGAAGGAAAAGCCCUUCAUUUUUUGGAAGAAGUCAAAGUAAGCAGAGAGAUGGACAAGGAAACACUUAAAGAUGUGGCCAGGGCAUCUCUUUGUACUAAAGUUCAUGCUGAACUUGCAGAUGUCUUAACAGAGGCUGUAGUGGGCUCCAUUUUGGCCAUUAAAAGAAAAGAUGAACCUAUUGAUCUCUUCAUGAUUUUGUGAUCAUUGACAAGAAACAUAAAUCUGAAACUGAUACAAGAGAAGUGAAUUCUGGCGUUUUUUACAAGAGUGCAGAAAGAGAAAAACUCAUAAAAGCUGAAAGAAAAUUCAUUGAAGAUAGAGUUAAAACAAAUAAUAGAACUGAAAAGGAAAGUCUGUAGUAAUUCAGAUAAAGGAUUUGUUAUUAAUCAAAAGGGAAUUGACCCCUUUUCCUUAGAUGCUCUUUCAAAGAAGGCAUAGUCGCUCUUCACAGAGCUAAAAGGAGGAAUAUGGAGAGGCUGACUCUUGCUUGUGGUGGGGUGGCCCUGAAUUCUUUUGAGGACCUAAGUCCUGACUGCUUGAGACAUGCAGGACUUGUAUAUGAGUAUACAUUGGGAGAAGUUCACCUUUAUUGAGAAGUGUAACAACCCUCGUUCUGUCACAUUAUUGAUCAAAGGACCAAAUAAGCCCACACUUAGAUCAAAGAUGCAGUAAGGGAUGGCUUGAGGGCUGUCAAAAAUGCUAUUGAUGAUGGCUGUGUGGUUCCGGUGCUGGUGCCGUGGAAGUGGCAAUGGCAGAAGCCCUGAAUAAAUAUAAGCUCAGUGUAAAGGGCAAGGCACAGCUUGGAGUCCAAGCAUUUGCUGAUGUGUUGCUCGUUAUUCCCAAGGUUCUUGCGCAGAAUUCUGGUUUUGACCUUCAGGAAACAUUAGUUAAAAUUUAAGCAGAACAUUCAGAAUCAGGUCAGCUCGUGGGUGUGGACCUGAACACAGGUGAGCCCGUGGUAGCAGCAGAAGCAGGCAUUAUGGGAUAACGAUUGUGUAAAGAAACAGCUUCUUCAUUCCUGCACUGGUUGCCACCAACAUUCUCUUGGUUGAUGAGAUCAUGCGAGCUGGAAUCUUCUCUGAAAGGUUGAAUUGAAGCUUCCUCUGUAUCUGAGUCUUGAAGACUCUGCAAAGUGAUCCUGAAGAAUACAGCUGUGGAAUUUUUGUCCAAGCUUCAAAUGAGUUUCAAGGGAAUUUUCCCAUGUGAAAAAAGGAGAGAACACUGGCAUCUGUUGAAAUUCGGAAGUUCUGAAAUUAUAAUCACAGUAUUUUUUAAAAAUUGCACUGAAGUGUACACAGAUAAAGCAGGUCUUUCACCCAGUGAACAGGAUGUUUUGCUUUAGCAGCAGUGACAUAAAAUUCCAUGUUAAAUAAGCAUAUAUUACCUACCUUAUUAAAUAUUCCUUGAAAAAGCAGA
This is an RNA transcript of Homo sapiens (human), 1766 nucleotides long. It is a transcript of the gene named chaperonin containing TCP1 family member 6A2, pseudogene, with no coding region annotated. NCBI's taxonomy places the organism in Eukaryota, Metazoa, Chordata, Mammalia, Primates, Hominidae. The transcript has 12 exons. The record is from RefSeq and is marked provisional.